GUUUCGUCUUUGAGAUAUUUAAUUAAAUCUUUUGUCGCGAUAUUUGCGUUAUUUAUUACGUGCGAUCGAAUCGCACCUACGCGAGUGUCAGUGUCAGUGUCGCAACAAAGCAGCCAAAAGCAGUGUGUUGAAUUGAGAAAUCAGAACGGAGGACGCGAGCAGCGAUACAUCAUUCCAAGAACAUCCGAUGUUAAUAUCAAUGCCACUAUGUGCAACCUAGAUACGCAACCAGUUUCAAUGUCUACUAUCGUCAAUGACAAUGAUAGCUUGGACAUUCCUUCUGAUAUCCCAGAUGUUUUCAAAAAGACUAUAUUUUGGCCCCGUAAAAACGAUUCAACAGUGAAAAAACGUGCUCUUAAAGUCAAAGUGCCUUCAGUUGCCACUUCGUUGGCCUGGCAAGAAUAUCACCGAGCGAAAGAAACGGAGAAAAGUCUACGUUUAAUUGGGAUCGAAAACAGAAAAAGAAAACGUCAAGAAACGGUAGAGAAAAAAAAGCAAGCAAUAGAGGAGAAAAAAAAAGCAAAAAUCGUUGCAACAAGCCGAAAAAGCCACCCAAAAAAAAUAAUAAAUCAAGCAGGAGAAAUAGACGUGGGAAAUAACAUGCAUAAUAUUUUGUUUCAUAAAAAAUAAAACAUGAUUUCUAUGAUAUUCUAUUUAAGAUUACUAUAAAUGAAAGAUAAUUUCUGGUUCUUUAUUUAUGAAUAUUAUAAAUAAAACAUUUAUAUGAAAAUAUAGCUUAAUAAUUCUUUUUAUUAUUGAUGUUACAUUCUUCUCCAAUUUCAGUUUCUAAGUAACAAGAAAAUUAA
Molecule: RNA transcript, 806 nt
Organism: Odontomachus brunneus
Lineage: Eukaryota; Metazoa; Arthropoda; Insecta; Hymenoptera; Formicidae
Exons: 3
Source: RefSeq, a predicted model, not a curated record